AGAGUUUGAUCCUGGCUCAGGAUGAACGCUGGCGGCGUGCUUAACACAUGCAAGUCGAACGAUGAACCACUUCGGUGGGGAUUAGUGGCGAACGGGUGAGUAACACGUGGGCAAUCUGCCCUGCACUCUGGGACAAGCCCUGGAAACGGGGUCUAAUACCGGAUAAUACUCCCGCACUCAUGUGUGGGGGUUAAAAGCUCCGGCGGUGCAGGAUGAGCCCGCGGCCUAUCAGCUUGUUGGUGAGGUAAUGGCUCACCAAGGCGACGACGGGUAGCCGGCCUGAGAGGGCGACCGGCCACACUGGGACUGAGACACGGCCCAGACUCCUACGGGAGGCAGCAGUGGGGAAUAUUGCACAAUGGGCGAAAGCCUGAUGCAGCGACGCCGCGUGAGGGAUGACGGCCUUCGGGUUGUAAACCUCUUUCAGCAGGGAAGAAGCGCAAGUGACGGUACCUGCAGAAGAAGCGCCGGCUAACUACGUGCCAGCAGCCGCGGUAAUACGUAGGGCGCAAGCGUUGUCCGGAAUUAUUGGGCGUAAAGAGCUCGUAGGCGGCUUGUCACGUCGGGUGUGAAAGCCCGGGGCUUAACCCCGGGUCUGCAUUCGAUACGGGCUAGCUAGAGUGUGGUAGGGGAGAUCGGAAUUCCUGGUGUAGCGGUGAAAUGCGCAGAUAUCAGGAGGAACACCGGUGGCGAAGGCGGAUCUCUGGGCCAUUACUGACGCUGAGGAGCGAAAGCGUGGGGAGCGAACAGGAUUAGAUACCCUGGUAGUCCACGCCGUAAACGGUGGGAACUAGGUGUUGGCGACAUUCCACGUCGUCGGUGCCGCAGCUAACGCAUUAAGUUCCCCGCCUGGGGAGUACGGCCGCAAGGUAAAACUCAAAGGAAUUGACGG
Molecule: ribosomal RNA, 892 nt
Filed under: Streptomyces sp. E4R8_pA
Lineage: Bacteria; Bacillati; Actinomycetota; Actinomycetes; Kitasatosporales; Streptomycetaceae
Description: bacterial SSU rRNA
Rfam family: Bacterial small subunit ribosomal RNA
Source: RNAcentral